UACGGAGGGUGCGAGCGUUAAUCGGAAUUACUGGGCGUAAAGCGCGCGUAGGCGGUAUGUCAAGUCAAGGGUGAAAUCCCCGGGCUCAACCCGGGAACUGCCUUUGAAACUGUCAAACUGGAGUGUGUGAGAGGGUGGCGGAAUUCCAGGUGUAGGAGUGAAAUCCGUAGAUAUCUGGAGGAACACCAGUGGCGAAGGCGGCCACCUGGCACAUAACUGACGCUGAGGUGCGAAAGCGUGGGUAGCAAACAGG
This 253-nucleotide ribosomal RNA is filed under the name uncultured bacterium. Its description in RNAcentral is "partial 16S ribosomal RNA". It matches the Rfam family "Bacterial small subunit ribosomal RNA", at positions 524 to 776 of the family's 1533-position model. The record is from RNAcentral.